GAAAGCGUGGGAGCAACAGGAUAGAUACCUGGUAGUCCACGCCGUAACGAUGAGUGUAAGUUUAGAGGGUUCCGCCCUUAGUGUGAAGUAACGCAUUAGCACUCCGCCUGGGAGUACGGCCGCAAGGCUGAACUCAAAGGAAUGACGGGGGCCCGCACAAGCGGGGAGCAUGUGGUUAAUUCGAAGCAACGCGAAGAACCUUACCAGGUCUUGACAUCCUCUGACAACCCUAGAGAUAGGGCUUCUCCUUCGGGAGCAGAGUGACAGGUGGUGCAUGGUUGUCGUCAGCUCGUGUCGUGAGAUGUUGGGUUAAGUCCCGCAACGAGCGCAACCCUUGAUUUUAGUUGCCAUCAUUUAGUUGGGCACUUUAAGGUGACUGCCGGUGACAAACCGGAGGAAGGUGGGGAUGACGUCAAAUCAUCAUGCCCCUUAUGACCUGGGCUACACACGUGCUACAAUGGACGGUACAAAGAGCUGCAAGACCGCGAGGUGGAGCUAAUCUCAUAAAACCGUUCUCAGUUCGGAUUGUAGGCUGCAACUCGCCUACAUGAAGCUGGAAUCGCUUGUAAUCGCGGAUCAGCAUGCCGCGGUGAAUACGUUCCCGGGCCUUGUACACACCGCCCGUCACACCACGAGAGUUUGUAACACCCGAAGUCGGUGGGGUAACCUUUUGGAGCCAGCC
RNAcentral lists this ribosomal RNA (682 nucleotides) under Bacillus paramycoides. RNAcentral's name for it is "bacterial SSU rRNA". It matches the Rfam family "Bacterial small subunit ribosomal RNA", at positions 755 to 1454 of the family's 1533-position model. Lineage: Bacteria; Bacillati; Bacillota; Bacilli; Caryophanales; Bacillaceae. The record is from RNAcentral.